RNAcentral lists this ribosomal RNA (120 nucleotides) under uncultured bacterium. RNAcentral describes it as "partial 16S ribosomal RNA". It matches the Rfam family "Bacterial small subunit ribosomal RNA", at positions 796 to 914 of the family's 1533-position model. The record is from RNAcentral.
CUGGCAGUAAACGGUGCACACUUGCUGUGUGAGGGAUCGACCCCUUACGUGGCGAAGCAAACGCGAUAAGUGUGCCGCCUGGGGAGUACGGUCGCAAGACUAAAACUCAAAGAAAUUGAC